UCACAACCUUUUUGAGUGAGCGA
Molecule: microRNA, 23 nt
Filed under: Apis mellifera (honey bee)
Lineage: Eukaryota; Metazoa; Arthropoda; Insecta; Hymenoptera; Apidae
Also listed under: 1 other name
Description: ame-miR-307-3p
Gene: ame-miR-307-3p
Source: miRBase by way of RNAcentral